GUGGGGAAUAUUGGACAAUGGGCGCAAGCCUGAUCCAGCCAUGCCGCGUGAGUGAUGAAGGCCCUAGGGUUGUAAAGCUCUUUCACCGGAGAAGAUAAUGACGGUAUCCGGAGAAGAAGCCCCGGCUAACUUCGUGCCAGCAGCCGCGGUAAUACGAAGGGGGCUAGCGUUGUUCGGAAUUACUGGGCGUAAAGCGCACGUAGGCGGACAUUUAAGUCAGGGGUGAAAUCCCGGAGCUCAACUCCGGAACUGCCUUUGAUACUGGGUGUCUGGAGUAUGGAAGAGGUGAGUGGAAUUCCGAGUGUAGAGGUGAAAUUCGUAGAUAUUCGGAGGAACACCAGUGGCGAAGGCGGCUCACUGGUCCAUUACUGACGCUGAGGUGCGAAAGCGUGGGGAACAAACAGGAUUAGAAACCCUAGUAGUCC
Molecule: ribosomal RNA, 425 nt
Filed under: uncultured bacterium
Lineage: Bacteria
Description: partial 16S ribosomal RNA
Rfam family: Bacterial small subunit ribosomal RNA
Source: RNAcentral